RNAcentral lists this long non-coding RNA (233 nucleotides) under Elaeis guineensis (African oil palm). Its description in RNAcentral is "long non-coding RNA (EGUI_LNC036614)". Lineage: Eukaryota; Viridiplantae; Streptophyta; Magnoliopsida; Arecales; Arecaceae. The record is from RNAcentral.
CCCUAGCAGAAGAGAGUAAUCCUAUAGAAUUUAAGAAGCUGAGUCUUUAAGUCUAUGACCAUAGCAAAGUGAUUAAUAGAAAAGAAUUUUCAUGAGAAUCAUAUAUGGACUCGAGCUGAUUGAAUCUAUCAUAUGACCGAUGAUGAGAUUUGUCGAUUCAUCCAUGAUCUGCCAUUUGAUCGAGACUCACGAUAGAGGGACUGUAUCAUACGAUAACUGCACCUAGAGGAUCA